GACGAACGCUGGCGGCGUGCUUAACACAUGCAAGUCGAACGGAAAGGCCCUGCUUUUGUGGGGUGCUCGAGUGGCGAACGGGUGAGUAACACGUGAGUAACCUGCCCUUGACUUUGGGUUAACUUCAGGAAACUGGGGCUAAUACCGGAUAGGAGCUCCUGCUGCAUGGUGGGGGUUGGAAAGUUUCGGCGGUUGGGGAUGGACUCGCGGCUUAUCAGCUUGUUGGUGGGGUAGUGGCUUACCAAGGCUUUGACGGGUAGCCGGCCUGAGAGGGUGACCGGCCACAUUGGGACUGAGAUGCGGCCCAGACUCCUACGGGAGGCAGCAGUGGGGAAUAUUGCACAAUGGGCGGAAGCCUGAUGCAGCAACGCCGCGUGCGGGAUGACGGCCUUCGGGUUGUAAACCGCUUUCGCCUGUGACGAAGCGUGAGUGACGGUAAUGGGUAAAGAAGCACCGGCUAACUACGUG
This 468-nucleotide ribosomal RNA is filed under the name uncultured bacterium. RNAcentral's name for it is "partial 16S ribosomal RNA". It matches the Rfam family "Bacterial small subunit ribosomal RNA", at positions 28 to 507 of the family's 1533-position model. The record is from RNAcentral.